CCUCUCUCUCGAAGUCAUCAGUCCAUAAAAUCUCUUGGAUCCAAAAGCUGCCCAGAAUUGCUACUGCCACUAUCAAGUGCUCUGCUAAGAUUGAAAAUAGNNNNNNNNNUGUGAAAGAGAAGAGUGUUUCGGUCAUUCUGUUGGCUGGAGGGAAGGGCAAAAGAAUGGGUGCAAGCAUGCCAAAGCAAUAUCUACCUCUGUUAGGCCAGC
This 210-nucleotide unclassified non-coding RNA is filed under the name Hevea brasiliensis (rubber tree). Lineage: Eukaryota; Viridiplantae; Streptophyta; Magnoliopsida; Malpighiales; Euphorbiaceae. The record is from RNAcentral.